AUUGAACGCUGGCGGAAUGCUUUACACAUGCAAGUCGAACGGCAGCACGGACUUCGGUCUGGUGGCGAGUGGCGAACGGGUGAGUAAUGUAUCGGAACGUGCCCAGUCGUGGGGGAUAACGUAGUGAAAAUUACGCUAAUACCGCAUACGAUCUAUGGAUGAAAGCGGGGGAUCGCAAGACCUCGCGCGAUUGGAGCGGCCGAUAUCAGAUUAGGUAGUUGGUGGGGUAAAGGCCCACCAAGCCAACGAUCUGUAGCUGGUCUGAGAGGACGAGCAGCAACACUGGAACUGAGAGACGGUCCAGAGUCCUACGGGAGGCAGCAGUGGGGAAUUUGGGACAAUGGGCGAAAGCCUGAUCCAGCCAUUCCGCGUGCAGGAUGAAGGCCCUCGGGUUGUAAACUGCUUUUGUACAGAACGAAAAGGUUUCUACUAAUACUAGGAGCUCAUGACGGUACUGUAAGAAUAAGCACCGGCUAACUACGUGCCAGCCGCCGCAGUAA
Molecule: ribosomal RNA, 500 nt
Filed under: uncultured bacterium
Lineage: Bacteria
Description: partial 16S ribosomal RNA
Rfam family: Bacterial small subunit ribosomal RNA
Source: RNAcentral